UUUUGUAAACAAUUUAUUCUCAACAAUGUACAGAUCCAAGCAGUGACUACCAUUCACAUCCAUCACAUCUUUAUACAAAUAUCAUUACAAAAUCACUACAGUACAAUAAAGAUUCUUCACAUGAUCCAAAAUAUUUGGUGGCCCCCUAAAUUAUUCUUAUUAUUUAACCUUAAAAUUCAGCAGUUUAUAAAAACAACUUAAACCAUAUUCACUAUUCCAAAAAGAAGAAGUUUCUCUCACAUUAUUCAGCAAAAACGGGUGAAGGCAGACUUGGAGAAAUUCUUGUAAAGUUUUUUUCUUAUGGCUAAAUGAAAGUCACAGGCUAUUGUUACAGGUGUUCUUUAAAGGGGGGCUGAAAUUCCUGAUUUGGCCUAAUUUUUUGUUUUGGUCAUUAAGAAAUGCAGCGGCCAUGACUGAAGCCAAAAGAGUAGUCUUGGAGGGGGUGGUUUAAUGUGGAUGUCUCGUGGGUGUUCGCAUGCGGCAAGCGUUUGUACAUUCACUCUGUUAGAUAACUUGAAACAGCCUAACCAGGUCGUGUGUCUUGAAGUCACCUAGGCUAGCUAGCACUAGCCAACUUCUUUCUCCAAUUAGCUUCAGCAGGCUAGUGUGUGACCCUGGCAAAGUUGGUUUGACAAUGGAUAGCCCAUCUCUGGGGCUAUUUAGUGACCACCAAUAAAUUACAAUGUAAAUGGGAAAAUAUUUUAUUGUUCCACAUUUUUAGUUGUCUCAUUAAAUGUUUUUUUAUAUUUGUAUUAGAAUUUCUACCAUUUAUAGUCAUUUGAGGUUAAGUAAUUGAGAUGUGAAGCUAUUGACCUUUUAAAAUAUUUUCUGAUUUACAUUGUGUAAUUUACUGAUGUACCCUAACUAGCCUCAUAGGGAUAUCGAAUGUCAAACCAAAUGGACCAUGCGCAUUACGAUAGGGUCAGUGCAGCUGUGCUACGAAAUGAUGAUUACUUGGAUGCUGUCUGCUGCAGGAUUGAAAAAACCCAAACCUAAUGAAUUUAUGGGACCCUUCAAUCCAUGACACGUUUUUCACCGUCAUCUCGCAAAUCUGUUAUGGAUGAGACUGACUUUAUGACCAAAAUUAUCCUAUUUACACCUUGUAGUCAAUUUUGAUUAGAAUAAAUGUUUGACUCAUAGAUGCCAAAAUAGCUGUUUUCAAAACAAGAAUUUGCUUUUAGGGGCAGUCACUCUUUAGAGGAGAUAUUCUAAUAGACUAUGAUUUUUAAAAGAUUUCCCCCCGUUCUUCAAAAUUAAAGACUUCAAAAACGCAAACAUAGCUGUAAGACGCCAUGAGCAUAUUUGCGUUUGGCCUAAUGUGCAAGGUCUUUUUUCAUUAUUGAAAAUGACCAGCCAUUACGAAUCCCCAGCUAAAUCAUUCAGUUAUCAUCAAGGCAUCAUGUACAUAUUACAUUAACUAUCUAGACAUGUCUUACAAUCACUUUGCCACAGUUGCAUUCAUUAUGUGCAAGUUAACUCUUCCCAAUUGUAUAUUCUUAUUCCUCCAAAUUAUAGCUAAAUUUGAAUGCAUGAGCUUACCUAGUUACAAUUAUUAUUUCACACUGACCCUGGAUGUGUGUACAUCUCAGUGCCUUAUUGUGAGUUAGCACACAUAUCAAACAUUAGUGAACUGAACACCCAUAGACAGGAACAUCCUCUGUAGUUUAGGGUUAGCGCAGGCUUAAUAACCUCUUAUCGGUAAAGGGAGAUGGAAAAAGGCAUACAUUUGGAAACAAUAACGGUAAACACAGACCUCCUGAGGAUACUACAAACAAAUAUUCAAGUACAGAAGCUACACAUUAUAGCAGCGGCUAUAAUGGAGCGGCUAUGUCAUUAAGACGGCACACAAACAGUGAUUGUUCUAUGUAUUUUUCUUUUCAUAUUUUCUUGGGACGGUUUCCUGGACACAAAUUAAGCUUAGCACUACGUUUAAAAUGUGUCUGGGAAACAGGCCCUAAAUGUUUUUGUUGUUUUUAAUUCAGUGUGAUAAGGACAGAACCAAUCAAGCCAUGCGUCCUCCAAUUUUUGACAUGCCAAACAGCUGGAAUGUGACAAAGACAAAGUAAUGUCCACUCCAGGACAAAGGUGUGGCACAAAAACAAGAACUACAGAAACAAGCGCCUCCAUAUAUCCCAUUCCGUCUUUUUGUGCUACUUGAUAUUAGCCUGGUGAAAAAAAGAGCAAUUCAGUUUGGAUCCAGGCUAACUUGAAAUACCCAUGUUUUUGUUGUUACAAGUGUUAAAAUGUCUAAUUAUGUUCAACACAACCAUCCAAUUAAUUUUUAAAAAUAAAUACACCGUAUAAUAAAGAUUCAAGGAGACUUAAAUAUAUUUUAUUUUAAUUACCUAUUCAUCUAAGUUAAAGAUUGUUGGCUUUGGAAAGGUUUUGUGGCAAUACAUGAGCGUCUGCAGUAUUUCAUCUCCAGGCUUAGUUCACGCCAAUUAUCUUUUAGAGAAUUUAAGAUAUUGGGAAUCUUAUCUUUAAAAACAGGUCAAACACACACACUGGAAGUUUCCAUACACUUAGGUUGGAGUCAUUAAAAAUUGUUUUUCAACCACUCCACAAAUUUCUUGUUCACAAACUAGUUUUGGCAAGUCGGUUAGGACACCUACUUUGUGCAUGACAAGUAAUUUUUCCAACAAUUGUUUACAGACAGAUUAUUUCACUUAUAAUUCAUUGUAUCACAAUUCCAGUGGGUCAGAAGUUUACAUACACUAAGUUGAUUGUGCCUUUAAACAGCUUGGAAAAUUCCAGAAAACAUCAUGGCUUCAGAAGCAUCUGAUAGGCUAAUUGACAUAAUUUGAUUCAAUUGGAGGUGUACCUGUGGAUGUAUUUCAAGGCCUACCUUCAAACUCAGUGCCUCUUUGCUUGACAUCAUGGGAAAAUCAAAAGAAAAAAAUCAAAAGAAAUCAGCCAAUCAGACCUCCACAAGUCUGGUUCAUCCUUGGGAGCAAUUUCCAAACGCCUGAAGGUUCCACGCUCAUCUGUACAAACAAUAGUACGCAAGUAUAAACACCUGCGUAUGAUGGCUGCGUGGGACCACGCAGCCAUCAUACCGCUCAGGAAGGAGACACGUUCUGUCUCCUAGAAGUGAUCGUACUUUGGUGCGAUAAGUGCAAAUCAAUCCCAGACAGCAGCAAAGGACCUUGUGAAGAUGCUGGAGGAAACGGGUGCAAAAAUGUAAAUCCACAGUAAAAACGAGUCCUAUAACGACAUAACCUGAAUGGCCGCUCAGCAAGGAAGAAGCAAAUGCUCCAAAACUGCCAUAAAAAAGCCGGACUAGAGUUUGAACUGCACAUGGGGACAAAGAUCAUACUUUUUGGAGAAAUGUCCUCUGGUUUGAUCAAACAAAAAUAGAACUUUUUGGCCAUAAUGACCAUCAUCAUGUUUGGAGGAAAAAGGGGGAGGCUUGCAAGCCAAAGAAUACCAUCCCAACCGUGAAGCAUGGGGGUGGCAGCAUCAUGUUGUGGGGGUGCAAUGCUGCAGGAGGGACUGGUGCACUUCACAAAAUAAAUGGCAUCAUGAGGAGGAAAAUUAUGUGGAUAUAUUGAAGCAACAUCUCAAAUCAGUCAGAAAGUCAAAGCUUGGUCGCAAAUGGGUCUUCCAAAUGGACAAUGACCACAAGCGUACUUCCAAAGUUGUGGUAAAAUGGCUUAAGGACAACAAAGUCAAGGUAUUGGAGUGGCCAUCACAAAGCCCUGACCUCAAUCCAAAAGAAAAUGUAUGGGCAGAACUGAAAAAGCGUGUGUGAGCAUGGAGGCCUACAAACCUGACUUAGUUACACCAGCUCUGUCAGGAGGAAUGGGACAAAAUUCACCCAACUUAUUGUGGGAAGCUUGUGGAAGGCUACCCUAAAAGUUUGACCCAAGUUAAACAAUUUAAAGGCAAUUUUACCAAAUACUAAUUGAGUGUAUGUAAACUUCUGACAAACUGGGAAUGUGAUGAAAGAAAUAAAAGCUGAAAUAAAUCACUCUAUUAUUAUUCUGACAUUUCACUUUAUUAAAAUAAAAUGGUGAUCCUACCUAACUUAAGACAGGGAAUUUUUACUCGGAUUAAAUGUCAAGAAUUGUGAAAAACUGAAUUUAAAUGUAUUUGGCUAAGGUGUAUGUAAACUUCCGACUUCAACUGUGUAGGUGUAUGUACACAUACAUACAUACAUACAUACAUACAUACAUACAUACAUACAUACAUACAUACAUACAUACAUACACACGUAUAUAUACAUACACACGUAUAUAUACAUACAUACGUAUAUAUACAUACAUACGUAUACACACCUAUGUGUAUGUAUGGGGCGGCAGGGUAGCCUAGUGGUUAGAGCGUUGGACUAGUAACCGGAAGGUUGCAAGUUCAAACCCACGAGCUGACAAGGUACAAAUCUGUCGUUCAGCCCCUGAACAGGCAGUUAACCCACUGUUCCUAGGCCGUCAUUGAAAAUAAGAAUUUGUUCUUAACUGACUUGCCUAGUUAAAUAAAGGUAAAAUAAAAUAUAUAUACAUAUACUGUGUACAUACACUGACACAUACAUUCAUAUAUACAUAUGUAAAAACAUAUAUACAUACACAUAUAUGUAAAUACAUAUAUAUACACACACAUAUAUAUAUACACACACACACACGUGUAUAUAUAUAUAUACAUAUGUAAAUACAUAUACAUACACACACACACACACGUAUGUAUACAUAUGUAUACACAUAUAUAUACACACGUGUAUAUAUAUGUAUAAAUACAUAUAUAUAUACAUACAUAUAUAUAUGUAAAUACAUAUAUACACACACACACACGUGUGUGUAUAUAUAUAUAUAUACACACACACACACGUACACACACACACACGUAUAUAUAUAUGUAUACAUAUGUAUAUACAUAUGUAUAUACACAUACACACACAUGUAUUUACAUAUAUA
Oncorhynchus tshawytscha (Chinook salmon) is the source of this 4907-nucleotide long non-coding RNA. Lineage: Eukaryota; Metazoa; Chordata; Actinopteri; Salmoniformes; Salmonidae. The record is from Ensembl.